CUCUACAGCCACAUCACCCUGAAUGUGCCUGAUUCUCAUCUAAUCUUAGAAGCUAAACAGGGUCAGGCUUGGUUAACACUUGGAUGAGAGA
RNAcentral lists this ribosomal RNA (91 nucleotides) under Aotus nancymaae (Ma's night monkey). Lineage: Eukaryota; Metazoa; Chordata; Mammalia; Primates; Aotidae. The record is from RNAcentral.